This 87-nucleotide transfer RNA is filed under the name Minisyncoccota bacterium. RNAcentral describes it as "tRNA-Leu". It matches the Rfam family "tRNA". Rfam says of the family: Transfer RNA (tRNA) molecules are approximately 80 nucleotides in length. Their secondary structure includes four short double-helical elements and three loops (D, anti-codon, and T loops). The record is from RNAcentral. Lineage: Bacteria; Bacillati; Minisyncoccota.
GCGGUCGUGGCGAAACGGUAGACGCACUACCUUGAGGUGGUAGCGGGAAUUAUUCCUGUGGAGGUUCAAAUCCUCUCGACCGCACCA